Molecule: long non-coding RNA, 3695 nt
Filed under: Sus scrofa (pig)
Lineage: Eukaryota; Metazoa; Chordata; Mammalia; Artiodactyla; Suidae
Description: lncRNA (ENSSSCG00000058303.1, ENSSSCG00130020537.1)
Source: RNAcentral
AUCCAGAUGGAAAAUCAAUAAGGAAACACUGGACUUGAACUAUACUUUAGACCUAGUGAAUGCAUACAGAUAAUCUCAUCCAAUAGCAGCAGAAUACACAUUCAUUAAUGUAAUAGGUCCCCAAAGGAAAAAAAAAACAUAAAAUCUAAGAGGAUUGAAAUCAUACAUAUCUUUUCUAACUGCAAUUGUAUCAAACUAGAAAUUGCCAACAGGAGGAAAACUAGAAAAUUCAUGAAUAUGUGGAGAUUAAACAACACACUUCUACACAAAAAGUGGGUCAAUGAAGAAAUGAAAGGGUAAAUAGAAAAUAUCUUGCAACAAAUGGAAACUUAGAGGACAAAGCAAAAGCAGUUCCAAGAGGAAAGUUUAUAGCAGUAAAUGCCUACAUUGAGAAAAAAGAAAGAUCUCAAAUAAACAACCUAACAUUACACCUCAAGUAAUUAGAAAAAGGACAGACUAAGCCCAAAGUUAGCAGAAGGAAGGAAAUUACAAAGAUCAGAAUAGAAAUAGAGAACAAGAGAACAAUAGAAAAGAUCAAUGAAAAUAUGAGCUGAUUUUUAAAGCAAUAAAAUUUACAAAUCUUUAGCAAGAUUAAAAAAGAGAAGAAAUCAGAAUGAAAAAGGAGACAUUACAACUGAUACUACAUAAAUGCAUAGAAUCAUAAGAAACUACUAGAUAUAAUUAUAUGCCAGCAAAUUGGACACCCUAGAAAAAAAUGGAUAAAUUUUUAGAAACAUAACAACUUACCAAGGCUGAAUCAUGAAAGAAAUAGAAGAUUUCAGCUGACCAAUAAAGAAUAAGGAAACGGAAUUCUUCAGUGGAUGAAUGAAUGGAUAAGGAAUGUAUAUAUAUAUAUCCAUUCAUCUGUUGACAGGCCAGUUGGCUGUUUCCAUAUAUUCACUGUUGUGAAUAAUGCUGCAGUGAACGUGGGAGUUUGAAUAUCUCUUUGAGACCCUUAUUACAUUUUUUAUAAAUAUAACCAGAAGUGAGAUUGCUGUUUCAUAAAAUAGUUAUAUUUUUAAUUAUAAUAUGUAUGUAUUUAUAUGUGUGUGUGUAUAUAUAAUGUAUAUAUUAUAUACACACAUAGGCAUAUCUCACUUUAUUAUGCUUUAUUUUACUGGUUUUGCAGAUUCUUCAUUUGUUACAAAUUAAGAUUUUUGGCAACCCUCCAUAGAGCAACUCUGUUGGCACCAUUUUUCCAAAGGCAUUAUUUUUAAUUUAUGUACAUUUUUUGAAGAAAUAAUGCUAAUAUAUCCUUAAUAGAUUACAAUAUAGUGUAAGCAUAACUUUUAUAUGCAUUGAGAAACCAAAAAACUUAUUUAACUGGCUUUUUUGCCAUAGUCGCUUCAUUACAGUGGUCUGGAGCUGAACCCACAUUGUCUUUGAUCUUUGCUUGUUCACACACACUCACACCCACACACACCCACACACACACUGGAAUAUUAUUCAGCCAUGAGAAAGAAGGAAAUCUUGUCAUUUGUGCAACAUGCAUGGAUCUUGAGGGCUGUGGUAAUCAUUUUGCAAUAAUAAGUAUAUCAAAUCGUCACAUUGUACACCUUAAACUUACAUAAUGUGAUAUGCCAAUUAUACCUCAAUAAAGGUAGAAAAAGACAAAACCGAAAUAAAUUACCACAAGAAAACCAUGGCAUGAGUGACAUAAGCACAUACAACCUACUGAGUUAUUAUGAAGAAGAAACAGUAUUCAUUUUGUCAGGAAAAGUUGCCAUUCAUGGGAGGCAUCAGAGAAGGGAUGACAUUUGGGUCGCAUUUGAAGGAUGAACUCGUGUUCAAAGAAAGAUGAAACUGUCUGUCCCAGCAUUAAUUUGAUAGCGCAAGAUGGUGGCUUUAGGAGAUUAAAUAGGGAAUAUAAUUAGAUUCUCAAUAAGAAAGGGCCUUUUACACCAUACUAUAGAGUUUGUAUUUUAUUCUGCAGGAAAGUUUGAUUUGGAGUUUAGAAAGAUCACUCUGGUAACCAUGUGUAGAAUGGAUUCCAAGGAGAGAAAAUAGUUAUUUCACAAAUUCAGGUAGGAUAUGAAGAAGAAUUAAACACAAAAAGUAGAAUCAGGGACAGAAAAUGAUUAAUAAAGAUAUUUCAGAAGUAAAAUUAAUAUUUAGUGAUUGAUUAUGGGGCAUAAAGGAGAAGUGUAGUCUAAGGUACCACUAGCUUUUUGUCUUGAAGAAAUGGGUAACUAGUUGUAAUCAAGUGAUGUAAGGACUGGAUUUGGAUAGAAAGAAAUAAUUUAUAACUGUAUUGAUGGGGGUUUAGAAUGCAGUGGUGAUUUCCCAGACAUGCAGAUGAACAGAGAAAAGGAGAUGCAUGAGGGGGAUGCAUGAAUUUUCACUCUAAUAUUAGCAGAAACUGGAGCCACGUUAUUGACAAGGGGGAGAUGAGUCAAUAGGAGAGCAAAAGUUGAAUAUACCAUGGAGGGGUAAAAUAAGAAAGGAAAAGCAUAGCAUCCAGUGCCAGGCAGAGGGAUGAGCCUGGACAAAAGGUACCUCCUUCUUAGAAAUGGCUGUAGAUAAGAGAGGCAGCAUGCGUGAGAAGACUGGAGGUGAGGGGGUGGGUGGAGGCAGGUCACCAUGUUUGGGAGGAGUUGGAAGCUUGAUGGCCUCAGUUUUGGAGUAUGAAAAUGUCCCUUGGUGAGAUGGAGCUUGAGUAACAGGGGUAAGAAUUGAGGAGGGUAUUGUGUGUAGGAUAAUUACUAAAGGAAAUGGGUUAGGAGGUUACUAAACACAAAUGAAAGGACAUUGCUAUCACUGAAAGAGUUCAAUAAUGCUUAUAGUUUUGCAGAUUCCUCCAAAAAGUCUGGGUUGCACUUGGUAUUACUACUUAAUAAAAACCAACAUUUUUGAUUUUUUAUUUUGUACCCAGCACUGUUAAAUCUUUCAUCUUCACAACAAAUUUGUGAGUUAAUUAUUGUUAUUAUUCUCAUUUUAACACAAGAGGAAACUGAGCCGUUGAGGAGUCUAAAACUGGAAAAGACAGAUCAUCAGUAUAAUGAAGGAGAGACUUAAGAUAAGUUUCUUUCUUUUUUAAAAAAUACCCCUAGGUAAUCGGUCUAGAAUUAAUAUGACACUGCAUGUUUUCAGGGACAUGGGCCCUUCUUUGAAAUUGCUGUGCCAUUUCUAAACCUACCUCAUGAUACAGUGUGCCUACUGGUGCUCCAGUAUAAUUCAGACACUGAGAAAAAUAAGGAGGACAAGAAUGGCAUGACUCUUCCUUUUCAGUUAGUGAAGAAAUUACACACACCUUUUGCAUACGCUCUUAGAAAUCACUUGUGUGGCUACGUUCUGCUCCAAAGAAGGCCAUGAUAUAUUUUUAUUUAGAAUAAAUAAAAUUUGAAAUAGGGGAAUGGCAAAUAGUGGGGAAAUCUCUUACUUUGUUUGAUCUACAUUUGGACAAUUUCAGAUUAUUUUGGAUGAAAAGAGAAAAGAGCAAAGAAUUGAGGGUGCUAACAAAGAGUAGAGUUAAAUGAUGAAUUACAACAAAGGAAAGAGCUGAAACCAAGAGCUGGCUGAUGGAUGGAAGGAAAAGAUGGGUGGAACUGCCUGAAUAACUUGAAGUCAAAGAGGAGGCACUGACUUUACUGAGUGAGAGAAUUUCAUGGAUGGUUGCUUAAGAUGGAGACUGUGUAAGAAUCUUGAAUGAGCGUUGAAGAUUUCAGAAUUGAAAAAAAAAAAAAAAAAAAGUGAAG